Molecule: ribosomal RNA, 2210 nt
Filed under: Escherichia coli
Lineage: Bacteria; Pseudomonadati; Pseudomonadota; Gammaproteobacteria; Enterobacterales; Enterobacteriaceae
Description: partial 23S ribosomal RNA
Rfam family: Bacterial large subunit ribosomal RNA
Source: RNAcentral
UGUAUAAUGGGUCAGCGACUUAUAUUCUGUAGCAAGGUUAACCGAAUAGGGGAGCCGAAGGGAAACCGAGUCUUAACUGGGCGUUAAGUUGCAGGGUAUAGACCCGAAACCCGGUGAUCUAGCCAUGGGCAGGUUGAAGGUUGGGUAACACUAACUGGAGGACCGAACCGACUAAUGUUGAAAAAUUAGCGGAUGACUUGUGGCUGGGGGUGAAAGGCCAAUCAAACCGGGAGAUAGCUGGUUCUCCCCGAAAGCUAUUUAGGUAGCGCCUCGUGAAUUCAUCUCCGGGGGUAGAGCACUGUUUCGGCAAGGGGGUCAUCCCGACUUACCAACCCGAUGCAAACUGCGAAUACCGGAGAAUGUUAUCACGGGAGACACACGGCGGGUGCUAACGUCCGUCGUGAAGAGGGAAACAACCCAGACCGCCAGCUAAGGUCCCAAAGUCAUGGUUAAGUGGGAAACGAUGUGGGAAGGCCCAGACAGCCAGGAUGUUGGCUUAGAAGCAGCCAUCAUUUAAAGAAAGCGUAAUAGCUCACUGGUCGAGUCGGCCUGCGCGGAAGAUGUAACGGGGCUAAACCAUGCACCGAAGCUGCGGCAGCGACGCUUAUGCGUUGUUGGGUAGGGGAGCGUUCUGUAAGCCUGUGAAGGUGUACUGUGAGGUAUGCUGGAGGUAUCAGAAGUGCGAAUGCUGACAUAAGUAACGAUAAAGCGGGUGAAAAGCCCGCUCGCCGGAAGACCAAGGGUUCCUGUCCAACGUUAAUCGGGGCAGGGUGAGUCGACCCCUAAGGCGAGGCCGAAAGGCGUAGUCGAUGGGAAACAGGUUAAUAUUCCUGUACUUGGUGUUACUGCGAAGGGGGGACGGAGAAGGCUAUGUUGGCCGGGCGACGGUUGUCCCGGUUUAAGCGUGUAGGCUGGUUUUCCAGGCAAAUCCGGAAAAUCAAGGCUGAGGCGUGAUGACGAGGCACUACGGUGCUGAAGCAACAAAUGCCCUGCUUCCAGGAAAAGCCUCUAAGCAUCAGGUAACAUCAAAUCGUACCCCAAACCGACACAGGUGGUCAGGUAGAGAAUACCAAGGCGCUUGAGAGAACUCGGGUGAAGGAACUAGGCAAAAUGGUGCCGUAACUUCGGGAGAAGGCACGCUGAUAUGUAGGUGAAGCGACUUGCUCGUGGAGCUGAAAUCAGUCGAAGAUACCAGCUGGCUGCAACUGUUUAUUAAAAACACAGCACUGUGCAAACACGAAAGUGGACGUAUACGGUGUGACGCCUGCCCGGUGCCGGAAGGUUAAUUGAUGGGGUUAGCGGUAACGCGAAGCUCUUGAUCGAAGCCCCGGUAAACGGCGGCCGUAACUAUAACGGUCCUAAGGUAGCGAAAUUCCUUGUCGGGUAAGUUCCGACCUGCACGAAUGGCGUAAUGAUGGCCAGGCUGUCUCCACCCGAGACUCAGUGAAAUUGAACUCGCUGUGAAGAUGCAGUGUACCCGCGGCAAGACGGAAAGACCCCGUGAACCUUUACUAUAGCUUGACACUGAACAUUGAGCCUUGAUGUGUAGGAUAGGUGGGAGGCUUUGAAGUGUGGACGCCAGUCUGCAUGGAGCCGACCUUGAAAUACCACCCUUUAAUGUUUGAUGUUCUAACGUUGGCCCCUGAUCGGGGUUGCGGACAGUGUCUGGUGGGUAGUUUGACUGGGGCGGUCUCCUCCUAAAGAGUAACGGAGGAGCACGAAGGUUGGCUAAUCCUGGUCGGACAUCAGGAGGUUAGUGCAAUGGCAUAAGCCAGCUUGACUGCGAGCGUGACGGCGCGAGCAGGUGCGAAAGCAGGUCAUAGUGAUCCGGUGGUUCUGAAUGGAAGGGCCAUCGCUCAACGGAUAAAAGGUACUCCGGGGAUAACAGGCUGAUACCGCCCAAGAGUUCAUAUCGACGGCGGUGUUUGGCACCUCGAUGUCGGCUCAUCACAUCCUGGGGCUGAAGUAGGUCCCAAGGGUAUGGCUGUUCGCCAUUUAAAGUGGUACGCGAGCUGGGUUUAGAACGUCGUGAGACAGUUCGGUCCCUAUCUGCCGUGGGCGCUGGAGAACUGAGGGGGGCUGCUCCUAGUACGAGAGGACCGGAGUGGACGCAUCACUGGUGUUCGGGUUGUCAUGCCAAUGGCACUGCCCGGUAGCUAAAUGCGGAAGAGAUAAGUGCUGAAAGCAUCUAAGCACGAAACUUGCCCCGA